Molecule: non-coding RNA, 28 nt
Filed under: Cricetulus griseus (Chinese hamster)
Lineage: Eukaryota; Metazoa; Chordata; Mammalia; Rodentia; Cricetidae
Source: RNAcentral
GUGACAAGGGCUGGUGGCACUUGGUCUC